UUCUGGUUCUACUACUGCCAGGAAGGGAUCGGGUUUUAAUGAUCCAGUACAGAGGAGGUGGUUCCGGGUUCUGGCUACUGUAACCAUGGCAACAGCCCAGUUCCUCAGUAUUAUUCUGUCGAUCAAAUCAGCUUUUAUGAGUUUUGAGCAAAAUUCCGGAAUAUUAAAUAUUUCUGAAGGAGAAUCGAUUUCCGUCAACCCGACGGAACCCCGGAUUGAUCCGGAUCAGAACCGGUUGAAGGUUUUCCCUCCAAACUCAGAACCAGAUUUGGGUUUCUUUUUGGGUCAGAACAGGAGAAGUAACUUCUGUUCGGUUCUGUUCCAAGUACAGAACCGCAGGUCGUGGUAUUAAACAGGACGUCUCCAGGUGUGUCGGCCCGACCCGUAACAUUUCCAUCAUGAAGCGGUUUCAUGACAGCUCCGAACCGAACCGGACGGACCGCGGCCCGAACCCGCGGCUCCACCUCCUCCCGCCGAACUCACACCGAUACCUCAUAUUAAAAUGUCCAACAGUUCUCUGCUGGGAGCGGCGAGGCUCCCGGUCCAAACUGCUCCGAAUCGAACCACCAGGAACAACAUUUUCCACGUUUAACUAAGAAUAAACCGAUGAAUUUAA
This is a long non-coding RNA of Poecilia reticulata (guppy), 616 nucleotides long. RefSeq lists it as uncharacterized. Lineage: Eukaryota; Metazoa; Chordata; Actinopteri; Cyprinodontiformes; Poeciliidae. The record is from RefSeq and is a predicted model, not a curated record.